CACAUGCAAGUCGAGGGGAAACGACAUCGAAAGCUUGCUUUUGAUGGGCGUCGACCGGCGCACAGGUGAGUAACGCGUAUCCAACCUGCCCACCACUUGGGGAUAACCUUGCGAAAGUAAGACUAAUACCCAAUGACGUCUCUAGAAGACAUCUGAAAGGGAUUAAAGAUUUAUCGGUGAUGGAUGGGGAUGCGUCUGAUUAGCUUGUUGGCGGGGUAACGGCCCACCAAGGCUACGAUCAGUAGGGGUUCUGAGAGGAAGGUCCCCCACAUUGGAACUGAGACACGGUCCAAACUCCUACGGGAGGCAGCAGUGAGGAAUAUUGGUCAAUGGACGAGAGUCUGAACCAGCCAAGUAGCGUGCAGGAUGACGGCCCUAUGGGUUGUAAACUGCUUUUAUAAGGGAAUAAAGUGAGCCUCGUGAGGCUUUUUGCAUGUACCUUAUGAAUAAGGACCGGCUAAUUCCGUGCCAGCAGCCGCGGUAAUACGGAAGGUCCGGGCGUUAUCCGGAUUUAUUGGGUUUAAAGGGAGCGUAGGCCGGAGAUUAAGCGUGUUGUGAAAUGUAGAUGCUCAACAUCUGCACUGCAGCGCGAACUGGUUUCCUUGAGUACGCACAAAGUGGGCGGAAUUCGUGGUGUAGCGGUGAAAUGCUUAGAUAUCACGAAGAACUCCGAUUGCGAAGGCAGCUCACUGGAGCGCAACUGACGCUGAAGCUCGAAAGUGCGGGUAUCGAACAGGAUUAGAUACCCUGGUAGUCCGCACGGUAAACGAUGGAUGCCCGCUGUUGGUCUGAAUA
RNAcentral lists this ribosomal RNA (795 nucleotides) under uncultured bacterium. RNAcentral's name for it is "bacterial SSU rRNA". It matches the Rfam family "Bacterial small subunit ribosomal RNA", at positions 52 to 834 of the family's 1533-position model. The record is from RNAcentral.